CCCCGUUUUAAAAGCACUCAGUGAGCCUUUUGCUAGUGACCCACUGAGCCAUCAAGAAGGGGCAGAGUAAGAACAUCGCUUUUGGAUGAAGAAGCGACUUGUGUUGUUCUACUUCAAUCUGUGUGACAAGA
Nannospalax galili (Upper Galilee mountains blind mole rat) is the source of this 131-nucleotide small nucleolar RNA. NCBI's taxonomy places the organism in Eukaryota, Metazoa, Chordata, Mammalia, Rodentia, Spalacidae. The record is from Ensembl.